UUCUCCGAUUCUGCUGCAAUUCUCUCCAAAUCUUCUCUCAACUUUCUUCUUCACCUCACCGCUUCUAUGCCCUCCACCUCUCUCUACCUUUAUCUCUCCUAUUUCUGUUUUCCCCUCAAUCAAGUUGACUGUAUGCCUAAUUACAUAAAAAGAUACUAGUAUUAAUUUGACAAGCAAGAAAUGUCGGAUUUGGGGGAAGAAUUUAUCAUAGAAAGCUACAAAGUUGCGUGGCUAAUUUGGAUCCAACUUGUAGUGAUGUUUCUUCUCAUCAUUCUCCUCUUCUUUGGCUUCAGCGCAUUUACUUUUGAACCUUCCAGUUCCUCAACCGCUUCGCCGUCCACUGCCGCCGCCGCCGCACCGCCGCCUCAUCUCAAUAAUCCCAGUUCAUCUCGUAGGAGAGAUAAGGCAGAAGUUCGGAGGACUACAAGGGAUAGAGCAAGCAUUGCAGAAUUUACCAGAGAAGUCCAAAAUGGGGAGGAGUCUUCUUCUAAGGAUUCUUCAUUUCUCAGAAUCUUCAGAAAUCCUAACCACCCUUGCAACUAUUUUGAUGUAGCAAAACGAGCAGUUCUCAAGUGUUUAGGCUUGGACUCUAGCUCCGAGCCCUCCAGGAGGAGCGAUCAGCAUGAUAAACAAGAGUAAUGCAUGUACAUUUUUGGCGAUCAUCCAUAAUGGUGAUAAGAUUAGGAGCAGCGCAUAGUUCAGUAGGCCCUCCCCACGAACUUGUGAUUAGACGGUGUAUAUAGGCAGCCUCAUUGUACUCAACUGUAACUCAAUACGGUAAUGCUAAACUCCAAUUCUUUUGCAUAUAAUUGAGCAGCAAAAGUCUUCGGUUUUGUU
Molecule: long non-coding RNA, 837 nt
Organism: Salvia splendens (bonfire salvia)
Lineage: Eukaryota; Viridiplantae; Streptophyta; Magnoliopsida; Lamiales; Lamiaceae
Exons: 3
Source: RefSeq, a predicted model, not a curated record